AUUGAACGCUGGCGGCGUGCCUAACACAUGCAAGUCGAGCGGUAACAGGUGUAGCAAUACAUGCUGACGAGCGGCGAACGGGUGAGUAAUGCUUCGGAAUCUACCCAAUGGUGGGGAAUAACCAGCCGAAAGGUUGGCUAAUACCGCAUACGUCCCACGGGAGAAAGCAGGGGAUCGCAAGACCUUGCGCCAAUGGAUGAGCCGAAGUCGGAUUAGCUAGUUGGAGGGUAACGGCCUACCAAGGCGACGAUCCGUAGCUGGUCUGAGAGGACGACCAGCCACACUGGGACUGAGACACGGCCCAGACUCCUACGGGAGGCAGCAGUGGGGAAUAUUGGACAAUGGGGGAAACCCUGAUCCAGCGACGCCGCGUGUGUGAAGAAGGCCUGCGGGUUGUAAAAGCACUUUUAGUGGGGAUGAAAUGUUCAGGGUUAACACCUCUGGAUUUUGACCUAACCCACAAG
This 464-nucleotide ribosomal RNA is filed under the name uncultured bacterium. RNAcentral describes it as "bacterial SSU rRNA". It matches the Rfam family "Bacterial small subunit ribosomal RNA", at positions 30 to 485 of the family's 1533-position model. The record is from RNAcentral.